GUUUGUAGAAAAGGGAAACACAGGCAAGGCUGGCAGCCUAGGUAAUGCUGGUCCCAGUGCAGUCUGGUGGAUGGAUGUCUGGGGCAGGCUCUGUGAGGCCCUGGAAGAGCCAUCAUAGCUGGAGGGGACAACUCAGUUUCCGGGAUGAGAGGAGAGCUCCUUCCAGAGGGAAAGCAUGGUUUCUGUCAUGGAGUCACUGCUCCUGCACCCAUCACGGGGCAUCUGCGAGGCCCUGCUUUCCUGGAACCCGAGGAGACCUUGACACUCCGCGCAUCGAGGCGCCUCUGCUUUGGGGCUACCCGUCAGGCUGGCUGAGGGCAUUGUUCCCCCGCGUUAUUGAUGCCUGAUGCGAAGGAGUUGGAGAGGAAGCUCUCCAGUGCUGAAAUGAACGUGGGCAUGCAGACACCUCUAGGAGGCGCUACUUCAUGCUCCUUGGGUACACAGCCAACAGGACUGCUAGAGCACAGGUAACGGAAGGGAAGGGGAUCCCACCCUCACUCGGUUCUGCUUUGUUUCCUGUCCGAAUGUGAGCAGCUUUUCUCUUGUCCAUUAAAGAAGAAAACUUAGAAAGAUGAAGUAGACCCCAAGGAGCCGCCUUCAUUUGUUUUGUUUUGUCUUGUUUGGUCAAAGCAAGUCACAGAACCAGAUCCAUGGGAUCAAGAAACGGACUUCCUCCCUCGAGAUGGGCUGCAAAGUCAGACUCCAAGGAUAUGAGUUGGGCAACAACUGUGGCCAUUUUUGUAAACAAGACCCCGCCCCUAGAGCAGCUCCUCAACCAUUCUGCAAGAGCCCCCUGAGCUGGGGAUGGGGAGAUGGUAUCAUCGUGACACCUUCAAAGCCAAGGAACUGUAGGUGGUGACAGGACUCACCCAAAGGUGCACAGCCACUCGGAGAGCAGGAACCUUCCCAAAUGCCAUGAAUCAAAAGCAAAGGCAACAGGGUGCCCGGGGAGGGUGGACAGAGGAUAUCUUUCCAGGCGGGCAGUGAAGGAAAUUCUGGAAGGGACCCUCCCCAGAGCUGUAACUGCUGCCUGUGGCCAGGGUGGGCUUUCCGGCUGGCUCAGUGGUUUGGGCAGCAUCAGAAGGCAUUUCUCGUUUCACCAAUUUGUUUUUUCGACCACUGUCUUCCACCUUACAAACGUGUUCAUAGCUAACACUCUGGCUGCUGCUCCCCGGGGAACCAAGGACACCCUUAGAAUCAGUCCCUGCAGGUGCACUGGACAAUCCAACCAGGCUGGGUCAGGCUGCCAGAUACACCUCUCAUCUCUCCGGAUGGUGACUGACCACUGGUGGUCACCCCACCCCCGGGCAGUGGCUGGUGUCCCUUGAAGGCCACACCUGGCUGCCUGGCCCAGGUAGAUGAGAGUGUGGCACUCAGGCUUCUUCUCACUUUUUAUCAACUGACCUUGGCAGGACGUCUGACGCCAUACGAGGGGUCAGUCCGGGGUGGCAUGGUGGCCAACAGCCCCUGGAGGUGUGGUGACAACUACUGAGUUGCAGCACAACUACUGAGGGCGGAAGGGGGAGCUACCAGCACCUAGAGGUGGUGGAACCUCGUUCUCCCCAAGGAGGACUCAGCAGGACUCAGUGCAGCACCCAUCAGCUGACCCAGGACCAGGAAGCCCAGCUGGCAUCUGGAAAUGGUCUGGGCUCAUUCUGGGUCACCACAGUGAGGCGCAAACAACUGGCGUUUCGGAGGGACAGGAAGCCAGUGAUGCAGAACCUGAGUCACCCUGGAGCCAGAGAAGCAAUUGGGGGAAGCUUAAGGGACCUUCGUCAUCACCGAGCGUGUGACCUUCCCUGUGUGCGUUUUACAGGCAAGGAAACUGAGGCACAGAGAGGGUGAGGUACCUCCUCUAGGAAGGGGGUCUCAACCCUGCACUACUGACCUCUGGGACCACAGUAAGUCUUUGGGGGCGAAGGACAAGCACAGGGUCUGUGCUUCAUAGAACGAGUCCAGCACCCCAGGCCCUAGCCACAAGAUGCCAGCAAAGCCCCCCUUCUAGCCAGGCACCCCCUGUGCCCGAGCCACCCCCAGUGGAGAACACGGCUCCACUUCAAGCAACCGGUUCCUAGUGGAGCUGGACCUCCAGCCAGGCCACCCAUCCCUGAGCCAUGGCCUCUGGUCUCCCACGACAGCAAUCCAGAGAGGACAGGGCCAACCGCUCCCUCAGACACUGGGAAUCGGAGAAGAAAAAGGAGACAUAGCAGAGAGGCAGGUGGAGAGCUGAUAUUUGAUCAGUGCAUUCUGGAAAGAACUGCAAUUUUAUUUUAGUAGAUUGAUUCUUUUCCAUCACAUCUACAAUACUCAAAGCGACCAGAAAACAGAAAAUGAUGAGUCCAUCAUCUUCCUCCAAUGCAUCCCCAAAUCUCGCUCUGCGUGGAUUGGGCAGACAUACUUUUGCAGAGUAUUUCAGGGCUCAACUAGUCUUGCCUGCUGGGCUCUCCUGUGCUGGGAUUAACUGGCAAUGCCUUGGGUUUGCACUUCACAGAUAUCUAUCUCCCCAAGUAUGGCCUAGGAAGGCAGUUACCCCUUCCUUAGGCAGGGCCAAAGAAGCUCAGAGUGCGUGCAAGGCCAGGCAGCAGCAGAGCUCAGGUCACCAGUGGAAGUGGCUCCCCUCCAAGGGCCUGAGAGCCACAGAGACACUGCCCCAACCUAUCAUGGCUCGGGCUGGGCGGCCCCUCUUGCUUUUUCUCAUGAAGAUCCCCCUCCAGGGAGAUGCAGGGACAAAGGUACAGGCAGGGGCUGCACUGUUACCUGCUUUUGAAAUGUUCCUGCAGCUGGGGCAGUAGGAGGGGUCCUCACAAGCUCAAGAAGUAUCCUAGAAAAAGCACUGGACCUCUCUGAAGUCAAAGUUUUCGACUCAGAUUCCUGGUUGUAGGGUUUCAAGCAAGUCAUUUUCAAGUCUGCCCUGUAUGGUUGUGUGGGUAGCUGACUGCACAAAGCACAGAUUAGAGGCUGAAGUCUGGUCUGUAGCUUGCUCACUAAGCCAUGCUUGGAACAGGGCUGUGUCACCCCAGAGAAAAGGUCACAUUUUUCUAAUUCUCAUAACAAUACUAGAUGAGCCAGCAGCAGUUCUGAUAUCUCUUUUCUUUUCCUGCGGGGGGGGACACAUUUGGUACAUUUGGACCCCCAUUUUUUUAUGUGACCUCUGUGAACUAGGAGGACCUCCCGGAACCUGUCCUCAGGAAUUCUAGAUCUCUUUCCUUCUCAUCUGUUAUUAUUAUCUUUUCCCUUUUCUCUCUUAAAAAACAAAAGGGUUUGGGGAUGGAGCGGUGUGGAAUGAACUCAUCCCAGACAGGUCAGUUUCCCAGCUGGCCAGGAGGAAGGCUGGGCCCAAACUGGUUCGGAACUCAGAAAAGCCAGGUGUGGAGGUGAUGUCCGUAAUCCCAGCACUUGGGGGGCUGAGGCAGGAGGAUCACAUACAAUCACUGCAAUUUUGCAGCGCAAUUACUCUGACAUAAUGAGACCCUGCCUCAAAAAACAAAGGAAAAAAAGAGAGAAGUGCGCUAGACUAAUGAGGACAGCUCCAUGGCUGCUCUGGAGAUGCCGGGAGCAAGGACCACGCAACGGUGCUCAGAGACCAUGGCUUUCUCAGUGCAGGAGUCUGACCAGAGAGGCGGAUUGGCUGAGUUUGGGUCACGCCCAAUUCACACUUCCGGUAGGGGACUUUGAUUGACAGCUCCUUCCGCAAUGCAUACAAAGGCCACCAAAGUGUCAGUCAGAGGAGGUACAGACACGGGAAAUGGGAAGCAUCCAGCAUUUGCUCCGUUCCUUUCUUAUUUUAUUUUUUAUUGGAACAUGUAUGUGAUACCUAAUGAACCUGUUGAUCUUGGGAACUGAUACAUAGUGCAUCUUAAUCUUUUUCAAUUCCCCUUCCCCUCUCCUCCUUCCAUCCCUACAUCCCCUCUCCAUCUGCAAACGGUCUCCCUCCCUGUUUCCUAUCAUGUCUUAUAUUCCUCUUUAAAUUGUUUAAACUUUAGGUUUCUCAUAUAAGAGAAACCAUGUGAUAGUUAUCCUUCCUGUGUCUGAUUCCUGUGUCGGCAUUAUGGUCUUGAGAUGCAUCCAUUUUCCUGCAAAUGACUCAAAUUUAUCCCUCUUUAUGGCCAAGUAGUACUCCACUGUGUAUAUAUACACCGCAUUUUCUCUGUCCGUUGAUGGACAGAAUUUCUAAGAUGUAACUGUUUACUCUAUCCUUUAAAAGCCACAUCCGGACCAGAUUUCCAACUAACAGGAUCCCAUGUCGUUCUUUCCUCUGACUUCCAUUCCCAUUCAGGCCCUGGUUUUGGUUCAUCUCUGAAGGCCUCUGUGCCACCUAACAUUCUGACCACACACAGCCCACACGACAGUGGACCGUCCCUGCCCUCACUGGGAGCCACAGAGAAACUGUGUCUGCAGAAGUAAAGGAGACUUAGAGUCCCACAGACCCAAGCAGAGUCCAAGGUCAAAGGGUUGACAACAGAGAGACACCAGGAAUCUUGGCAACACCCCGGGCCAGACAGCUCUUCAUCUGGAAGGACUCCGGAGGGACCCUCGCUCAUCUCUUGGCCCAGCUCCCCUGCUGCAGGUUCCUCAGGACUUCACCUCCUAGAGCCGUGGCUUCAUUAAUACAACCACUCCAAAAACACAAGGAGCCCUCGCUAAAAGGAUUCACCCCACCAGCUGGGGGGAACAGCAAGGCCCCUGAGGCAGGGAGGGAGAGGACAACAGAGAGUGUGGGGGAGCCUCUAUGAAAACGGGGCAAGUGUUGGCCAGGAAUCCUGGGAGGUUCCUCCACAGAAUGCCAGACACACAGACAAGAAGAGACCAUGAAUGCCCAGGGCAGCAGCUGCGGGGGAGAAGCGGGUUCCUGGGAGGUCACCCCAGAGCAGAAGCUGCAGAAUGGAACUGCAGCCCUGUGGCUCGCACCGCCUGUGGACGACCCAGUGGGCAGAUGCAAAACAUCACAAGGGCUGUCACCCACGUGGGGAGCCAUCUCCGGGCCCCAGGGACGGCCACCAAUCAGCAGGAUUCCGUGGGGACUUAAGUUCCCAAAUGGUUUUAUGUGACAGAGAGGGUUGGGGUGGGGGAGAAACCCCUCAAAGUCCCCCACAUCCUCACUGAAAAAACCAGAUCCAUGUGCUGUAACUUGUUCUAGGGUCGGGAAAGGAGCGGUUGUUGGUAUCCUGUAUGUAAUCAAUGAACUAUUUCUCAUCUCCCUCAAAAUCAGUCUCAGCUAUCUCCUGAUGUCCAUGUGUCUUUGUGUCUGUGUGUUUUUAUGAGGAGAACAGGGGACAAGGAUUCUCGUCUUCCUAACUUGGAACAAAGAUGCAAACAACUGUGGCCGUGUCAAUAUGCACGCUCGAUGACGUGCUUUACCCUCUUAUCAUCCUCUAAAUCGCAGGACAAAGAAUUUCUUCCAGAUGAAUUUUAGCUCUGCUACCAAGCCACACAACUUCUCCAGAUCUCCUUUUCCUGCUCUGUAAAACGAACGGCUUAUAGUCCACACCCAACUGCCUCAGAAUCCUAAUGCAAAAAAACUCUUUGAUAUCAACGAGGAAAAAAAAUCCCACAUGGACCACAGUAUUUCGUCACUUCUCCCAGUGGCACAACACACACAAAUCAAAUCAAAAUAUAAAUCAUUGCACCCUGUUACGGGUCUCAUACAUAGUUUCUUUUAAU
This 5661-nucleotide long non-coding RNA is filed under the name Heterocephalus glaber (naked mole-rat). RNAcentral describes it as "lncRNA (ENSHGLG00000046643.1)". The record is from RNAcentral. Lineage: Eukaryota; Metazoa; Chordata; Mammalia; Rodentia; Bathyergidae.